Loxodonta africana (African savanna elephant) is the source of this 14784-nucleotide long non-coding RNA. RefSeq lists it as uncharacterized. The transcript is spliced from 3 exons. Lineage: Eukaryota; Metazoa; Chordata; Mammalia; Proboscidea; Elephantidae. The record is from RefSeq and is a predicted model, not a curated record.
CGCCGCCCUCGGGCUCCCAGGCCCAGCCCGCCAGGCCUCGUGCCCUCGGUUCCCGAGGGGGUCGCCGGACGACCGGGCCCGGGGGCUGCGGGCCCAGAGGCGCAGGGGGCGUUCGCCCGCCCUUCCCGCGCCCAGGUUUUCGGGGGGUCCGCAGGCUCAUCCCGGGAUCUCCAGGGAGCUAAGGGGAGCAGACGGCGCCGAACCCAAAACCAACCCUGCGACCCUGUAGGACGGAGUAGAGCUGCCCCUUAGGGUUCCCAAGGCUGUAAUCGUGACAGAAGCAGACUGCCACAUCUUCCUCCUGUGCAGCGGCUGGUGGGUUCGAACUGCGGACCUUUAGGCUAGCAGCCGAGCUCUUUAAGCGCUGCGCCACUAGGGCUCCAGCAGACGCCACCAAAAACCAAACCUGUUGCCCUCGACUCGAUUCCGACUAACGGUGACCCUACAGAGUAGAACAGCCCUGUAGGUUUUCUAAGGAGCGGCUGGUGGAUUCGAACUGCUGACGUUCAGGACUGAGCGCGAGCUGUCUUGAAGCUUAGUUUCUCUGAUGCACGUAGCAGAGCUCCGUGGAGCAUACACGAUUUUCUUUGCAGAAUACUCUUUGAUGAGUAAAUACAGGCUUUGUAGCGCCCCUUCAUGACAAGUUUUCAAGCCUUGCUGCUCUGUGAAUGGCGUCCCGCGGGAACCUAGAACUUAAAACCUGAUGAUGUCUGCAUUUUAACCCUUUUCGUGAACCAGUUAUUUUAUGCUUUGAAUUUUUUGUUGAUCCCAUGUGUGUUUUCAUUAAUGGAAGCAUGCUGAAUCCUUGUGUCUGAGUUUUUGGUCAGUAGCAUGAAUUUUUUUUCUUGCCUCCUUCUACAAGCCUACCCUAAGUGUUUAGUGGUACUAUGAAGUACCACUAGUUAUACACCAGAGUCCCCACCAGGGUCUGUUGGUACUAUGUGUAACGAAUGAAAAUAUUCAAAAUUUCUGUUUUUCCUACCAAAAAUUCAGAUGCCUCAUACAAUACCCUGUGCCCGUUUCUUCAGUUUCACACAGUCAUAAAAGCCCUUUCCUUGGGCAGCAGCUUCCCCAUAAACCCCAGAGGCAGAAGAUGUACUUGGUCCCUAGAGGUACCGGUGAACAUGAAAGGGUUAACUUUUUUCCCUUCACUUUAGAUAGAAAUGAAAGAAAAGAAAAACUCUCUGAGAUUCAGUUUCUUUGUAAAAUGGAAAUAAUAACAUGUGCCUGCAAUGUUGGUAAGUUGCCUCAUAGAGUAAAAAAAAAAGUAGUGGUUAUUAAUUGGUAGUAGUAUUUUUUAUCAAAAUCAAAAGAAAGAAUAAAUUUAAUUGGUUAACCUGAUAGUGUCUUAAAAUUGAAAUGUCAAAAGACAGGCAGAACUCCUUUCUCUUACAAACCUGUAGAAACUGUCUUUCUCCUCCUUAUCGUUCCUGCGGAUCAUUAACUUGAGUCUGAGUGGACUCAAUGGCAAUGGGUUUCUUUUUUUUCCCCUAACCAUUAACAUUAUAAUGAAAAGUUGAAGGUUGUAGAGAUGCACCUCAUAUUCCUUGGAUUAGUUCAGGCCAUGAUUUUUUUCUUCUUCUUCUUUGUGUUGAAAACAGAUUGUCAUGUUUUUGCCCUUUGAAAUGAAAUGCUCAGUGACAGCUAUAGUUAAUAAGUGUUCGUUUAAAAAAAGGAAAAAGAGAAACUUAAUUUCUCAGUAAGGCAGAUUAUGUAGAAAAAAGUAGUUCCAAACUUUGCCUGCUUUUGUAGAAAAACCUUGUGCUAAGGAUUCUAAAAAAAAAAAAAAAAAAAAGGAUUCUACUCCUCCUUUAAUUACCAGUAAGUUAUGAUUUUCAUAACUUUGAACAAGAAAUCAUUUCAUAGAUUGAAAAUGACAAUUUCUGGACAAUCAGGUGUUUGGCUUCAAAAUGGGCAUUAAAAAAAAAAAUUUAAUGAGUGCCCUAACUACUUUUCAAAAUAACCCUCCAAAGGAAAGAGGAUUGACCUGCUCUUAUUAAUUAAAGUUUAAAGUUCUUGGGAACAGACUUUCCAUGGUAACUCUGACAGUAAUUAUCUCCUGCUUUCCUGCAUUUUUAUUUGGGGGACUUACUACUUCAUAUCACAUUUUCUCCUUGUUUUAUAGCACACCCCACUAUUUUUCUCUUCAUGUUAUUGUUGCUAGGUGCUAUCAAGUCAGUUCCAACUCAUAGCCACCCUGUGCACAACAGAGUGAAACACUGCCCAGACCUAUGCCAUGCUCACAGUUGUUGCUUUCCUUCAACCCAGUGUUGCAGCCACUGUGUGAGUCCAUCUUGUUGAGGGUCUUCUUUUUUGCUGACCCUCUACUUUACCGAGCAUGAUGUCUUUCUCCAGGGAUUGAUCCCUCCUGAUAAAACAUGUCCAAAGUGUACGAGACAAAGUCUUGCCAUCCUUGCUUCUAAGGAGCAUUCUGGUUGUACUUCUUCCAAGGCAGAUGUGUUUGUUCUUUUGGCAGUCCACGCUAUAGUCAAUAUUCUUCACCAACACCACAAUUCAAAGGCGUCAAUCCUUCUUUGGUCUUCCUUAGUCAUUGUCCAGCUUUCACAUGCUUACAAGGGGAUUGAAAGCACCAUGGCUUGGGUUGGGCACACCUUAGUCCUCAAGGGGUUGUCUUUGCUUUUUAACACUUUAAAGAGAUCUCUUGUAGCCAGUUUUCCCAAUGCAGUGUGUCUUUUAAUUUCUUGACUGCUACUUCUAUGGGUGUUGAUUGUGGCUCCAAGUAAAAUGAAAUCCUUGACAACCUCAGUCUUUUCUCCGUUCUUCUCUUCAUGCUUUUCUCUUAGUCUCUCAUAUCUUCGUGAUGCGUAACCCCUGGAAUCAAAUGUUUUUUGCUAUGCAAUAAAAAUUAAUUGUAAUACAGCUAGUCAAUUUUAAAAUACCUUUCUCAACUCACUAAAUUAAGAUAUUUUCCCUUGAAGCAAACAUCCUUUUCAUAUCAGAUAUGCGGCAAAAUUGUGUAAAGUUUAGGUUGUUUGAGAACAUUGUGGUUGGAAGGAUGGAUUAGUUCUGAAAGUAUAAAAUGUAUUUAGGAAACAAAAUAUUAGUUUUAUGUAUCUCUUCUUAACACGAUCACCUGAAGAGUACUUCUAAUAUGAUAACACUUGAGCUCUAAGAAACAAUCUGGAGGUUUAAGUUAGAACAAAAAUUAUAAGCACUUAUAACUUGUGGAAGCAUGAGGCAGAGCCAUUCUCUGUCUUUAGAACAGCUUUUCCAUCAUGUGGCUUGUGAUGACUGUCACAAUUAGGAAAAUGUAUGACAGGUGGUAAACAAGAUGACGACUUCGUGCUAAUUUGCACUGAUAUUCUCUCUUUUUGCACACAGUCUAGCUGCUCUGCAGAGAACAGUGGGCUCCAGAAUUACUGGAAAGAGGCUAUUGGGCCACAUGUGUUUAAGGAAGGGAAAUUAACGAGAAUGCUGUAGAGUGCAGGUGUGCCUCGUGUAAAGUAAAUCAUGUGCAGAACUCUGAACGUUUGUUCAUAUAUUCACCCAACUGAUGUGUAGGGAGCACCCAGGGAGUGAGUGUCAGCAACUCCUUCAGACACUGUAAUAAAUAAAACAGUAAGUAAAACACGAAACUGUCUUCCCUCAUGGCACUUACACUCUGCUGGUGUAGUUCAGAGUAGCCCUUGAGUUAGGGUAGUGAUUACUGAUAAUAGAAAUGGGUCAGGACUCGUGUAAGGGAGCCAUGCUGUUUAUAUCAGAAGAAAGAUAGUCUGUCACAGACCAAGAACACGUGAAACGGCAGGAUGGCUGGCCGUCCAAAGUAAGUUUUUUCCUGAAAGUAGGUUGCUUCUGCUAAGAUAAUAUAGCCUGCUAAUAUAACAAUUUCCUCUAUCACAAUGUGUGGAAAAACUCUCCAGGAUUAAUGGGAAGAAUGUUUUGUCUCUGAAGCAACAUGAUUGAGUAAGAAGCACUCUUUUUUUUUUUUUAAGUGCUGCAUUUUAUACUGAAAAAAUGUAUGAACAGUAAUAGGUGAUGACUUCUGGACCUUUUCAAGAGCCUCUGUGAGUUUAACAUGCAGCACUGACAGUGAGGUACUCUCUACAAUUUAAGUGAAUCAUAUGAAAGAUAUAUUUUAAGUAGCAAUUCAGGUAGCUUCCAUUUUACUUGGAGAUUGGAUGAAUACUGGAAACACUGGUGGCACAGUGGUUAAGUGCUAUGGCUGCUAACCAAAAGGUCGGCAGUUUGAAUCCACCAGGCGCUCCUUGGAAACUCUGUGGGGCAGUUCUACUCCGUCGUGUAGGGUCGCUAUGAGUCAGCAUCGACUCUUCGGCAGUGGGUUUGGUUUUUUUGUUUGUUUGUUUGGAUGAAUAUCUGAUACAUGGCAAAACCAAAUCCUUUGCCAUCAAGUCGAUGCUGACUCAUAGCGACCCUAUAGGACAGAGUAGAGCUGUCCCAUAGGGUUUCCAAAGAGCAGCUGGUGGAUUUGAACUGCCGACCUUUUUGGUUAGCAGCUGAGCUCUUAAUCACUGCUCCACGAGGGCUCCCUCAGAUAUAUAGUUAAAUGCUAGAUCAAAUAGGGACUGUGGUAGGCAUUCAGAGGAGCCAGUGAUCAAAGGAGCCUGGAGCAGAGCCCGCGUGUUUUGAACUAGGAAGGAUAUUAGGAACUACGUAAGGGUAUGUAUCUGCUUCGCGGCUCAGCUGCCCUCAAUAGAUCGUGUACUUCUGGAGGAAGGCAGUUAUCAUUCUGACUCCAGUCUCUUGCACAGUGCUACUCAGUUAAUUGUUGGAAUGAAUGACUCUAAUCCAAUGUCUGCCCAGUUCAGCAAUCCUGCAAUAUCCCAAACAGAUGGUUCUCUAGCGCCUUUCUGAACACCUUCUAUGAUGGUUAAGGUUAUGUGUCAAUUUGGCUAGACCAUGAUUCUCAGUGGUUUGGUAGAUACUAUGUAAUCAUCCUCCAUUCUUUGAUCUGGUAUGAGCAGCCAGCCAGUUGAAAGGGGAGUUUUCUUGGAAGUGUGCCCUGCAUCCAGUAUAUAUGGAUGUUCUGGCAAAGUUCACUCUCUCUCAGUCCUACAUCCCACUCGUCAUACUCUGGCCUCCAGUUCUUGGGAGGUGAGCCAGCCGCCUGCUGCCUGACCUGCGGUUUUUGGGAUUUACCAGCUCCCGCGACCCUGUGAGCCAACAGCCUUCUGCCUGGUCUGCUGAUUUUUGGGUUCAUCAGCCCCUGCAACCACAUGAGUCAGGAGAAGCCUCCAGCCUGACACUUGACCCACGGAUUUGGGACUUCCCAGCUUCCACAACUGUCCUUGCAUCUUAUGGAGUGGAUUGUGGUCAACAAGAAGUACUCCCUUUUGUUGAUGCUGUCCAUGGUGCUGAAUCCAGCCAGCAUUCGUGAAACAGUGGUGGACGUGGUAGGGGUGUGUGUGUUUGCCCAGUUAUACCCUUGAACUUACACUGCCAGCAGCAGUUCCUUUUGAAGUCUCACAACUAAAGGUGAUCAAGGCCAACAUCAACAGUCAUAAAUAACGUUAACAGCAUGUACUGUUGAUGUGAUGUGAUGAAGAUGGCACUUCACCUCCAUGAUCUUCCUCCUAAAAACCCGUAACCCCAGUCUGGUCACGAGAGAAACAUCAGACACAACCUGUAGAGGGGCAUCCUGCAAUGUACCUGACCAAUACAGCUCGAAACUGUCCAGGUCAUCAGAAACAAAACAAGUUUGAGGAACUGUCACAGCGAAGAGAGUCUUAAGAGACAUGACAGCUAAAUAUAAUAUGGUAUCCCGGAUUGGAUCAUGGAACAGAAAACGGGACGUUAGCUAAACAGUAAGAAAAUCUGAAUGAAUGAUGGACUUCAGUUAGUAAUAAUGUAUCAAUAUUUGUCCGAUAGUUAUGAUAAGUGUAACUAAUGCUACAAAUUAAUUGUAAUAAAUUGCUACUAAUUUAGGAUAUUAAUAAUAGGAUAAACUGGGGAUUCAUUUGAGGACUCUGUACUGUCUGUAUCUUUAGAGUAGUUUUAGAUUUACAGAAAAAUUAUCUACUGAAAAAAGUAAUUAUUGGUGUUUUAAUUUUGCUUUUUAAGGUUUGCUCUUCAAAACUUAUUUUAAGAUAUUUUUAAAAGACUUUAUGCUCUAAAUUAUGGUAGCUGAAAGUGUUAGACAUGAUAUGUGUCAGCAAAAUUAUUUUUUAGUGUCCGAAUAUUUGGUUUAAAUUGGAUUAAGAUUUAUUAGUUAAUAUUUUCUUUUUUUUUAUUCUUAUUGAAGACAGAAACUCCCACUUCAUAAUGGAAUAUCCAUAAUGACAUCUGUUCAAAAUAGUCUGUUCUGGUGCCUUUUUACGAUAAACCUAAUAAAUAAUUCAUGGAUCAUGGAUAAUAUGACAUAAAAUGAACAUUUGCUAAUAUUUAAUAUCAAAGUCAUUCCUUACUUGUCAAAGAGUAAUUGUGUAUCACAUGCUCGUUUUUCUGUAGUGAUUUUUAUAACACAUAUCAGGUGUGGGAAUGAACUGUUUGAACUCAUUCAUUUAGUGAACAUCUAUGGAACAAGUGCGUAAAAUAGAACACGUGUGCUGUUGAGAAGUGGCUAGAUGCCAGGGAUAUCCUCAAGAAGUGUAUGGACUUGUAGGGAAAAGAUGUGUUUUUUUGCGUAUGAGGUUUUAUGACAUAGAAGAUGAUGGUGAGUCCCUGGGUGGUGCAUAGGGUUAAGCACUCAACUACCAGCUGAAAGGUUGGCGGUUCAAACCUACUCAGAAGGGCCUCAGAAGACAGGCCUGGCGAUCUGCUUCCGAAAGGUCACAGCCUUGAAAACCCUACGAAGCAGUUCUACUCUGCCUACAUUGGGCAGCCAUGAGUCGGAAUUGACUUGACGACAACUAGCAACAACAGUGUAAGCUGGCACUGGAGGAGCCGUGGUGGUUCCGUGGUAGCGUCCUCACCUUCCACGCAGGAGGCCCGGGUUCUUUUCUGGGCCGGUACACUCAGGUACAAUCACCACCUGUUUGUCACCGGAGUCUUGCGUGGUGCUGUGAUGUUAAAGAGGCUUCAGUAGAGCUUCCAGACUAAGACAAAGAAGAAAUGCCUGGCCAUCUACUUCCAAAAAAUUAGCCAAUGACUAAGCCAUGAUUUCCAGUUUUGUGUGGUUGCCCUCCAUUUUGUGAUCUUACAUAACUAUCCUAUGUGUUGUAAAUCCUACCUCUAUAAUGUUAAUGAGGCAGGAUUAGGGGCAGUUAUGUUAAUGAGGAAGGACACAAUCUACAGGAUUAGAUUGUAUCUUGAGUCAGUCUCUUUUGAGAUAUAAAAGAAUCAAGCAGGGAUGGGGGACUUCCUACCACCAAGACAGAAGAGCCAGGAGCAGAGUGCAUCCUUUGGACCCGGGGUCCAGAUGCUGAGAAACUCCUAGACCCAGGAGAAGAUUGGUGACAAGGACCUUCACCCAGAGCGGACAGAGAGAGAAAGCCUCCCCUGGGAAUGGAGCCCUGAGUUUGGACUUCUAGCCUCCUAAACUGUGAGAGAAUAAAUUUCUAUAUGUUAAAGCCAAAAAAAGAAAAUCGGCCAAUGAAAAAAACCCUAUAGUCACAGUUGUGCAUGGGGACAUGAUGAGUUGAGGGCUAGCUUGAUGGCAGCUAACAACAACAAUAUAAGGUGGAAAUCACUUUAGCCACUUGGGUUUACAUGAUAUUUAAAUCAAUUUUGCUUAGGAUAAUGAAUAGUUUUCUGUUCGUUUUAGUUUUUUGGACUAUUAAUACUUAAUCAUCAAUUUAAAAAGUAGAAAAAAAUUCUUUCCCGUUUGAUGACCCAUGAAAACUGUGCAAACAUUCUUGACCUUUGUGAAUUAGCACAUCUGCAUACAUACAGAUUCUUCCCCGUUCCCACCCUCCUAAAAAUAACUUGGGACUUAAAUAAAAUACUAAAAGUUUUAUAUUUACGUUGCAUUUGCAUUUAAAUUUAUUGUAAAAAUUUGAACAUACAGGCUAUUUUCCUGCGUUCUUAAAUUGUUUCAAUGUUGUUUGUUGUAACUCAGUUUGUUAUUUUGAAUAUAAUGUUCAUAAUCUUAUGUAUCUUUAUAUGGUUAUCAGCAUGGUGUAGGUGGUGUAGUGCUUCUGGCGUAGGUUACUAUUUGUGUUACCUGCACUUCUAUUGAGAUGUCUUCUUGUCUUCAAGGAUACCCAAGAAGUUCCUCCCACCCCAGCUGCUCAGUUGUCAGUUUUUAAGCAGAGAUCUGAUUUAAGACUUCUGCCAUAGCAGUGAGCAUACCUAGUGAUCAAAUGCUGGUUUCCAAAUACAAGGGCUCCUCGGAGAAGUGGUUCAUUCAAGUUCUGGAACAGAGCUUAUCCAAGAUGAUCCUCAGAUAUCUUGUGGUGCCAGAAAGUAGCCAUGUGCUCACAAAAGGAUGGGGGACUGUUCAUGGAACACAGGAACCAACCUGAAGGAGCUUCCAAUGGCCAAAGCUGGAAGAAUUUGGGCAGCUAAAUAAAUAACGAUAGUAUUGGAUUAUAACCCAUGGUCUAAAAUAAGUAUGAAUCCAUACUGACACAUAAAUGAAUGAGUGGAGGAAAAGGGACAACUCCUUUUGUAGAAGAAUUCCAGUUAAAAAUGGAGAAGGAACUAGGGAAAGAGAAAAUCACCAAAGUAAUGAUCAGUGUAGGCAGAAUCUUACCAUAGACCCUAAUGUUCUUGUCAUUAGUCCCCUUCAAGUUGAUUCCAACUUAUGGCGACCCCAUGCAUGCAGAGUAGAGCUGCUUCACGGAGCUUUCAAGGCUUUGACCUUUCAGAAGCAGAUCACAAGUUCUGAUCACCUCUGGAUGGGUUCAAACCACCCACCUUUCAGCAAGUAGUCAACCAUUUACUCUUUGUGCCACCCAGGCUCAUGCUAAUAUUAGUAGGUGAAAAUCUGAGGAAGAACAGGAUGUUUGCAUACUUUAAAGUAUUUCCCCAUAGGUAUUUAUUAAUCACACUGACAAAAAUAGUAGCUUUGCAGUGGAGAAACCCAGCAGACGCCACCCUGACCAAAACAUCCAGGUUAACAUCAGUAAUAAGUCAUAGCGACAUCAUGAAACCCUUGCUAUAAGGCAUUAAGAAGGACACAGCACCACUUUUGUGGUUUUCUUGUGAAAAAUAGUAAUUUCUAAUCACAAGAAAACAUGAAACCCAAGUUAAGGAUAUUUCUACAAAAUAACUGACUUCAGAAGUAUCAAGGUCGGUUAAACCGGGGGCCAAGAUGGCGGACUAGGUGGACACUACCGCGGAUCCCUCUUGCAACAAAGACUCGGAAAAACAAGUGAAUCGAUCACAUACAUAACAAUCUACGAACUCUGAACAAGAAACACAGACUUAGAGACGGAAAACGAACAAAUACGGGCAGACAGCGACCUUUUUCAGAACUAGGAGCCAGCGUACCAGGCGGCUCCAUUAACAUCCGAAUACCCUGAGCCAGAGGGAGAAUUCAGAUAGGGAUCUGACUGCAUUUUUUUAUAGCUGAUUACCUGGAAAAUCUAGUUUCCCAGUGAUGGCUCGGAGACAGCAGUCCAUAUCAAACGACAUAAAGAAACAGACCAUGACAGCUUCUCCAACCCCCCAAACAAAAGAAUCAAAAUCUUUCCCAAAUGAAGAUAACAAUCCUGGAAUUAUCAGAUACAGAAUAUAAAAAACUAAUUUACAGAAUGCUUAAAGAUAGCACAAAUGAAAUUAGGAUAACUACAGAAAAAGCCAAGGAACACACUGAUAAAACUGUUGAAGAACUCAAAAAGAUUAUUCAAGAACAUAGUGGAAAAAUUAAUAAGUUGCAAGAAUCCAUAGAGAGACAGCAUGUAGAAAUCCAAAAGAUUAACAAUAAAAUUACAGAAUUAGACAACGCAAUAGAAAGUCAGAGGAGCAGACUCGAGCAAUUAGAAUGUAGACUGGGACUUCUGGAGGACCAGGGAAUCAACACCAACAUAGCUGAAAAAAACUCAGAUAAAAGAAUUUAAAAAAAUGAAGAAACCCUAAGAAUCAUGUGGGACUCUAUCAAGAAGGAUAACUUGCGAGCGAUUGGAGUCCCAGAACAGGGAGGGGGGACAGAAAACACAGAGAAAAUAGUUGAAGAACUCCUGACACAAAACUUCCCUGACAUCAUGAAAGACGAAAGGACAUCUGUCCAAGAUGCUCAUCGAACCCUAUGUAAGAUUGAUCCAAAAAGAAAAACACCAAGACAUAUCAUCAUCAAACUUGCCAAAACCAAAGACAAACAGAAAAUUUUAAAAGCAGCCAGGGAGAAAAGAAAGGUUUCCUUCAAGGGAGAAUCAAUAAGAAUAAGUUCAGACUACUCAGCAGAAACCAUGCAGGCAAGAAGGGAAUGGGACGACGUAUACAGAGCACUGAAGGAGAAAAACUGCCAACCAAGGAUCAUAUAUCCAGCAAAACUCUCUCUGAAAUAUGAAGGAGAAAUUAAGAUAUUUACAGAUAAACACAAGUUUAGAGAAUUUGCAAAAACUAAACCAAGACUGCAGGAAAUGCUAAAGGAGAUUGUUUGGCCGCAUGACCAAUAAUAUCAGGUACCAGCACAGUACAAGGUCACAAAACAGAACGUCCUGAUAUCAACGCAACUCAAAUAGGGAAACCACAAAAACAAACAAAUUAAGAUUAAUUCUAAAAAAUAAAUAAAUAAACAAAAUAAUACACACAACAGGAAAUCAUGGAAAUCAAUAGAUAAACGAUCACAAUAAUCAAAAAGAGGGACUAAAUAUAGGAGGCAUUGAACUGCCAGAUGGAGAGUGAUACAAGGCGAUAUAGAAUGAUACAAGUUAGGUUUUUACUUAGAAAAAUAGGGGUAAAUAAUAAGGUAACCAUAAAAAGGAAUAUCAAUUCCAUAACUCAAGAAAAAAGCCAAGAAAAACGUAACGACUCAACAAACAUAAAGUUAACCAUUAUGAAAAUGAGGAUCUCACAAGCUGCUAAGAAAAACAUCUCAGCACAAAAAAGCAUGUGGAAAAAUGAAAUGGACAACAACACACAUGAAAAGGCAUCAAAAUGACAGCACUAAAAACUUAUUUAUCUAUAAUUACGCUGAAUGAAAAUGGACUAAAUGCACCAAUAAAGAGACAGAGAGUCACGGACUGGAUAAAGAAACACGAGCCAUCUAUAUGCUGCCUACAAGAGACACACCUUAGACUUAGAGACACAAACAAACUAAAACCCAAAGGAUGGAAAAAAAUAUAUCAAGCAAAUAAUAAGCAAAAAAGAAGAGGAGUAGCAAUAUUAAUUUCUGACAAAAUAGACUUUAGACUUAAAUCCACCACAAAGGAUAAAGAAGGACACUAUAUAAUGAUAAAAGGGACAAUUGAUCAGGAAGACAUAACCAUAUUAAAUAUUUACGCACCCAAUGACAGGGCUGCAAGAUACAUAAAUCAAAUUUUAACAGAAUUGAAAAGUGAGAUAGACACCUCCACAUUUAUAGUAGGAGACUUCAACACACCACUUUCGGAGAAGGACAGGACAUCCAGUGAGAAGCUCAAUAGAGACAUGGAAGACCUACUUACAACAAUCAACCAACUUGACCUCAUUGACUUAUACAGAACUCUCCACCCAACUGCUGCAAAAUAUACUUUCUUUUCUAGUGCACAUGGAACAUUCUCUAGAAUAGACCACAUAUUAGGUCAUAAAAAAAAUCUUUGCAGAAUCCAAAACAUCGAAAUAUUACAAAGCAUCUUCUCAGACCACAAGGCAAUGAAGCUAGAAAUCAAUAACAGAAAAACUAGGGAAAAGAAAUCAAAUACUUGGAAACUGAACAAUACCCUCGUGAAAAAAGACUGGGUUAUAGAAGACAUCAAGGAGGGAAUAAGGAAAUUCUUAGAAAGCAACGAGAAUGAAAAUACUUCCUAUCAAAACCUCUGGGACACAGCCAAAGCAGUGCUCAGAGGCCAAUUUAUAUCGAUUAUUGCACACAUACAAAAAGAAGAAAGAGCCAAAAUCGGAGAACUGUCCCGACAACUUGAACAAAUAGAAAAUGAGCAACAAAAGAACCCAUCAGGCACCAGAAGAAAACAAAUAAUAAAAAUUAGAGCUGAACUAAAUGAAUUAGAGAACAGAAAAACAAUUAAAAGAAUUAACAAAGCCAAAAGCUGGUUCUUUGAAAAAAUUGACCAAAUUGAUAAACCAUUGGCUAGACUGACUAAAGAAAAACAGGAAAGGAAACAAAUAACCCGAAUAAGAAACGAGAAGGACCACACCACAACAGAGCCAAAUGAAAUUAAAAGAAUCAUUUCAGAUUACUACGUAGAAUUGUACUCUAACAAAUUUGAAAACCUAGAAGAAAUGGAUAAAUUCUUGGAACAAUACUACCUACCUAAAAUAACACAUUCAGAAGUAGAACAACUAAAUAGACCCAUAACAAAAAAAGAGAUUGAAACGGUAAUCAAAAAACUUCCAACAAAAAAAAGUCCUGGCCCAGGCGGCUUCACUGCAGAGUUCUACCAAACCUUCAGAGAAGACUUAACACCAUUACUACUGAAGGUAUUUCAAAGCAUAGAAAAAGACGGAAUACUACCCAACUCAUUCUAUGAAGCUACCAUCUCCCUGAUACCAAAACCAGGUAAAGACAUUACAAAAAAAGAAAAUUUUAGACCUAUAUCCCUCAUGAACAUAGAUGCAAAAAUCCUCAACAAAAUUCUAGCCAAUAGAAUCCAACAACACAUCAAAAAACUAAUUCACCCUGAUCAAGUGGGAUUUAUACCAGGUAUUUUUUUUAAUAUCAGAAAAACCAUUAAUGUAAUCCAUCACAUAAAUAAAACAAAAGAUAAAAACCACAUGAUCUUACCAAUAGAUGCAGAAAAGGCAUUUGACAAAGUUCAACGACCAUUUAGGAUAAAAACUCUUACCAAAAUAGGAAUUGAAGGAAAAUUCCUGAACAUAAUAAAGGGCAUCUAUGCAAAGCCAACAGCCAAUAUCACUCUAAAUGCAGAGAACCUGAAAGCAUUUCCCUUGAGAACGGGAACCAGACAAGGAUGCCCUUUAUCACCGCUCUUAUUCAACAUCGUACUUGAAGUCCUAGCCAGGGCAAUUAGGCUAGACAAAGAAAUAAAGGGUAUCCAGAUUGGCAAGGAGGAAGUAAAGCUAUCACUAUUUGCAAAGGAAUCCUCCAGAAAACUACUGAAACUAAUAGAAGAGUUUGGAAGAGUCUCAAGUUAUAAAAUAAACAUACAAAAAUCACUUGGAUUCCUCUACAUCAACAAAAAGAACACCGAAGAGGAAAUAACCAAAUCAAUACCAUUCACAGUAGCCCCCAAGAAGAUAAAAUACUUAGGAAUAAAUCUUACCAAGGAUUUAAAAGGCCUAUACAAAGAAAACUAUAAAACUCUGCUACAAGAAAUUCAAAAGGACAUACUUAAGUGGAAAAACAUACCUUGCUCAUGGAUAGGAAGACUUAACAUAGUAAAAAUGUCUAUUCUACCAAAAGCCAUCUAUACAUAUAACGCACUUCCAAUCCAAAUACCAAUGUCAUAUUUUAAGGGGAUAGAGAAACAAAUCACCAAUUUCAUAUGGAAGAGAAAGAACCCCCGGAUAAGCAAAACGUUACUGAAAAAGAAGAAGAAAGUGGGAGGCCUCACUCUACCUGAUUUCAGAACCUAUUGUACAGCUACAGUAGUCAAAACAGCCCAGUACUGGUACAACAACAGGCACAUAGACCAAUGGAACAGAAUUGAGAACCCAGAUAUAAAUCCAUGCAUGUAUGAGCAGCUGAUAUUUGACAAAGGACCAGUGUCAGUCAAUUGGGGAAAUGAUAGUCUUUUUAACAAAUGGUGCUGGCAUACCUGGAUAUCCAUUUGCAAAAGAAUGAAACAGGACCCAUACCUCACACUGCACAAAAACUAACUCCAAGUGGAUCAAAGACCUAAACAUAAAGACUAAAACGAUAAAGAUCAUGGAAGAAAAAAUAGGUUGAACCCUAGGAGCCCUAAUACAGGGCAUAAACAGAAUACAAAACAUUACCAAAAAUGAUGAAGAGAAACCAGGUAACUGGGAGCUCCUAAAAAUCAAACACCUAUGCUCAUCUGAAGACUUCACCAAAAGAGUAAAAAGACCACCUACAGGCUGGGAAAGAAUAUUCAGCUAUGACAUUUCAGACCAGCGCCUGAUCUCUAAAAUCUACAUGAUUCUGUCAAAACUCAACCACAAAAAGACAAACAACCCAAUCAAGAAGUGGGCAAAGGAUAUGAACACACAUUUCACUAAAGAAGAUAUUCAGGCAGCCAACAGACACAUGAGAAAAUGCUCCCGAUCAUUAGCCAUUAGAGAAAUGCAAAUUAAAACUACGAUGAGAUUCCAUCUCACACCAACUAGACUGGCAUUAAUCCAAAGAACACAAAAUAAUAAAUGUUGGAGAGGCUGUGGAGAGAUUGGAACUCUCAUACACUGCUGGUGGGAUUGUAAAAUGGUACAACCACUUUGGAAAUCCAUCUGGCGUUAUCUUACACAGUUAGAAAUAGAACUACCAUACAACCCAGAAAUCCCACUCCUAGGAAUAUACCCUAGAGAUACAAGAGCCUUCACACAAACAGAUAUAUGCACACCCAUGUUUAUUGCGGCUCUGUUUACAAUAGCAAAAAGCUGGAAGCAACCAAGAUGUCCGUCAACGGAUGAAUGGGUAAAUAAAUUGUGGUAUAUUCACACAAUGGAAUACUACGCAUCGAUAAAGAACAGUGACGAAUCUCUGAAACAGUUCAUAUCAUGGAGGAAUCUGGAAGGCAUUAUGCUGAGCGAAAUGAGUCAGAGGCAAAAGGACAAAUAUUGUGUAAGACCACUAUUAUAAGAUCUUGAGAAAUAGAAAAAACGGAGAAGAACACAUACUUUUGUGGU